This is a long non-coding RNA of Phasianus colchicus (ring-necked pheasant), 1753 nucleotides long. The record is from Ensembl. Lineage: Eukaryota; Metazoa; Chordata; Aves; Galliformes; Phasianidae.
AUCCCAGUGCCACCAGUAUGCACAUCCCAGUGCUCCCAGUGCCACCAGUAUGCACAUCCCAGUGCCACCAGCACACACAUCCCAGUGCCACCAGUAUGCACAUCCCAGCACUCCCAGUGCCACCAGUACACGCAUCUCAGCAUUCUCAGUAUGCACAUCCCAGUGCUCCCAGUCCAACAGUCACCCAUCCCAGUGCUCCCAGUACCACCAGUAUGCACAUUCCAGUGCUCCCAGUGCCAUCAGCGACCCAUCCCAGUGCUCCCAGUGCCACCAGAGAUCCGUCCCAGCGCUCCCAGUGCCACCAGUAUGCACAUCCCAGUGCUCCCAGUGCCACCAGUAUGCACAUCCCAGUGGCACCAGUAUGCACAUCCCAGUGCUCCCAGUGCCACCAGUGCCCCCAGUACCCCAUCCCAGUGCCACCAGCGCUCCCAGUGCCACCCAUGACCCUCAACCCAGUGAUAAAGGGACCCCAGUGCCCCAUCCCAGUGCUCCCAGUGCCACCAGUGUGUCCCCAUCCCUCCCAGUGUCCCAUCCCAGUGCUCCCAGUGCCACCAGUCCGCAUGUCUCAGUGUUCCCAGUGCUCCCAGUGCCUCCAUAUCCCCACGCCAGUGCUCCCAGUGUCCCCUGUGCUCCCGUCCCAGCACCCCCAGCACCGCCAUUCAGCGGCACCAGUGCUCCCAGUGCUCCCAGUGCUCCCAGUGCCAGCCUUGUCCCAAUCCCAGAGCUCCCAGUGCCACCAGUGCCACCAGUGCCCCUCUUCCAGUGUUCCCAGCGCUCCCAGUGGCCACCAGCGCCACCCGACCCCCCGUCCCAGCGUCACCAGCGCUCCCAGUCCCUUCCCGUGUCCCCGCCCCAGUGCUCUCGGCAUCACUCGCGCCUCCAUCCCAGUUCUCCCAGUGCCCCCCGCCCCCCCCAACUGGGGCCGCACACGCGCGUGGGAGCUGAAGCCCCGCCUCCUCGCCAGGCCCCGCCCCCUCGCCGGGCCCCGCCCCCCGCGCUCUGAUUGGCCGCGGCGCAAGGGGGCGCUGUGCGCACGGCCCGCGUCACGCGCCCGCCUCCCCCCUCCACGUGACGCCGCCGCCGCCCACGUGACCCCGCCCUCCUCCUCGCGCGCGCGCGGCGCGAUGACGUCGUGAGGCGGCGCCGGCGGUCACGUGGGCGGCGGAAAGGCACGAGCGCGGCCGUGCGGGCGGGAACGGUGCGGCGGGAAGGGGGGCGGGGCACUUCCGGUGGGCGGGACACGAGGGCGGGGCACUUCCGGGUGGGGGCUCCCGGGCCAUGAGAGCGGCUCUGGGCGUGAGUGUCGCGAUAUCGGGGCGGGGUAUCGCGAUAUCGCGGCGGGGGUGUGAGUAGGGCCAGGAGGCCGUGAUAGAGCGCAGGCCGUGGGGGGGCGGGGCGGGUGUCGCGAUACGGGGGAGAGCACAUGGCGGCUGCGUGUCGCGACAUGGUGGAUAUCGUGACAUGGGGAGCAUUGCGUCACCCAGUCUGGGUGUUGUGAUGUGUUGGAUAUCACGACAUGGUAUCGUGACAUUGAGGUAUCAUGACAUGGUAUCGAGACAUGGGGAAUAUCGUGACAUGGGGCUGUUGUGACAAAUCAGGUAUCGUAUUGUGGCAGAUGUGCUGUGGUGAGGUGAGUAUCACAACGCAAGUCAGACGUUGUGAUCUACAUUGAAUGUCAUGAUAUGCAGGUAUCAUAGUGCAUCAGAGACACACAGUGCACCAGGUAUUGCAAUAAAUGCCAGGUGUCGUGACA